CCCUUAGAUGUUCUGGGCCGCACACGCGCUACACUGAAGGAGGCAGCGUGUACUCCUGGAUCGAAAGAUUUGGGUAACCCGCGAAUCUCCUUCGUGCUAGGAUUGAGGUUUGCAAUUAUCCUUCAUGAACGAGGAAUUCCCAGUAAGUGCAAGUCAUAAGCUUGCGCUGACUACGUCCCUGCCCUUUGUACACACCGCCCGUCGCUACUACCGAUUGAAUGAUUUAGUGAGGACUUCGGACUGGGACCGAUGCGGCUUUCGGGCUGCGUCGGUAUUCUGGAAAGAUGUCCAAACUGUAUCAUUUAGAGGAAGUAAAAGUCGUAACA
Molecule: ribosomal RNA, 326 nt
Filed under: uncultured eukaryote
Lineage: Eukaryota
Description: partial 18S ribosomal RNA
Rfam family: Eukaryotic small subunit ribosomal RNA
Source: RNAcentral